CUAAAAGCGAUGAAAAGGAAGAAGGGUAUUAUCAGUCAUUUUAGCGAACCGGGGAGGGUGAAAGCCCGGUUGAAUUGUACCCUGAGCCCCCUUUGAGCUGUUGGCGGAAAGUUAUGCUAAACAGCAUAAUCAGUAUGCUCAUACCGGACGCCUCCGUUAAUGGAUUUGAGAGGGAUGCAACAUAAUUUGCAGCCAAUGAGGGUGGUACCGCGAGAACCGGACUCUCGUCCCUUUG
RNAcentral lists this non-coding RNA (235 nucleotides) under Desulfotomaculum sp. RNAcentral's name for it is "T-box sequence". It matches the Rfam family "T-box leader". From Rfam's summary of the family: Uncharged tRNA acts as the effector for transcription antitermination of genes in the T-box leader family. Lineage: Bacteria; Bacillati; Bacillota; Clostridia; Eubacteriales; Desulfotomaculaceae. The record is from RNAcentral.